RNAcentral lists this ribosomal RNA (203 nucleotides) under uncultured bacterium. Its description in RNAcentral is "partial 16S ribosomal RNA". It matches the Rfam family "Bacterial small subunit ribosomal RNA", at positions 1300 to 1500 of the family's 1533-position model. The record is from RNAcentral.
GUAGUCUGCAACCCGACUACAUGAAGCUGGAAUCGCUAGUAAUCGCAGAUCAGAAUGCUGCGGUGAAUACGUUCCCGGGUCUUGUACACACCGCCCCGUCACACCAUGGGAGUCGGAAAUGCCCGAAGCCAGUGACCCCAACCUUAAGGAGGGAGCUGUCGAAGGUGGAGCCGGUAACUGGGGUGAAGUCGUAACAAGGUAGC